RNAcentral lists this ribosomal RNA (451 nucleotides) under uncultured bacterium. RNAcentral's name for it is "partial 16S ribosomal RNA". It matches the Rfam family "Bacterial small subunit ribosomal RNA", at positions 29 to 523 of the family's 1533-position model. The record is from RNAcentral.
AACGAACGCUGGCGGCAGGCUUAACACAUGCAAGUCGAACGGUUGUAGCAAUACAGCAGUGGCAGACGGGUGAGUAACACGUGGGAACCUUCCUAGGGGUACGGAACAACUCAGGGAAACUUGAGCUAAUACCGUAUACGUCCGUGAGGAGAAAGAUUUAUCGCCCUUAGACGGGCCCGCGUCGGAUUAGCUAGUGGGUGGGGUAACGGCCUACCAAGGCGACGAUCCGUAGCUGAUCUUAGGGGAUGAUCAGCCACACUGGGACUGAGACACGGCCCAGACUCCUACGGGAGGCAGCAGUGGGGAAUCUUGGACAAUGGGCGCAAGCCUGAUCCAGCCAUGCCGCGUGAGUGAAGAAGGUCUUCGGAUUGUAAAGCUCUUUUGCCAGGGACGAUAAUGACGGUACCUGGAGAAUAAGCCCCGGCAAACUUCGUGCCAGCCGCCGCAGUAA